Molecule: microRNA, 23 nt
Filed under: Raphanus sativus (radish)
Lineage: Eukaryota; Viridiplantae; Streptophyta; Magnoliopsida; Brassicales; Brassicaceae
Description: rsa-miRn26
Source: RNAcentral
ACUUUCUGGGUGUUGCUGAAGGC